This 481-nucleotide ribosomal RNA is filed under the name uncultured bacterium. RNAcentral's name for it is "bacterial SSU rRNA". It matches the Rfam family "Bacterial small subunit ribosomal RNA", at positions 28 to 507 of the family's 1533-position model. The record is from RNAcentral.
GACGAACGCUGGCGGCGUGCCUAACACAUGCAAGUCGAGCGGAGUCGAUCGACGGAAGCCUUCGGGCGGAAGAUGGUUGACUUAGCGGCGGAUGGGUGAGUAACGCGUGGGCAACCUGCCUCGAAGACCGGGAUAACAGCCCGAAAGGGCUGCUAAUACCGGAUGUGGUCAAGGAUCCGCAUGGAUUUUUGAUUAAAGGGGAAACCCGUUUCGAGAUGGGCCCGCGUCCUAUCAGCUAGUUGGUGAGGUAAAAGCUCACCAAGGCGACGACGGGUAGCCGGCCUGAGAGGGUGACCGGCCACACUGGAACUGAGACACGGUCCAGACUCCUACGGGGGGCAGCAGUGGGGAAUCUUCCACAAUGGGCGAAAGCCUGAUGGAGCGACGCCGCGUGAGCGAAGAAGGCCUCGGUUGUAAGCUCUGUCUGGAGGGACGGAAGGAAGUGACGGUACCUCCGGAGGAAGCCACGGCUAACUACGUG